This is a non-coding RNA of Peromyscus maniculatus bairdii (prairie deer mouse), 643 nucleotides long. The record is from RefSeq and is a predicted model, not a curated record. NCBI's taxonomy places the organism in Eukaryota, Metazoa, Chordata, Mammalia, Rodentia, Cricetidae.
UGUCAGACACAGAGAGAGAAGGUCUCAGAGGCAGACUCCUCGCUGAAAAGAAGGGACCCAGAGCUCUUUCCAAACUGCCUCCACCCCAACCAGAGUGCUGAACCUGACCCAGAAGGAGGAAAAGAGAGUUCUGAGUCAGGUGGGAGGCUUGGAGUUUAGACCUGAUGGGCUAACUACUUCCAUCACUGUCACCAAUGACUUUAGAGGGGGCUGCUGAACCACAGACUCCUCCGUGGCUCCCAUUGCUGAUGCAAGGGGAUCAUGCUCAGACCAAUGAGUCAUCUCAGAGGAAAACGGAGACAACAAAGGACAAGUUGUCCAGAAUGGGUGGAACCCGCCCUUGCCUUACAAGCCAAACUUGAGCUCAGGAGGGGUUGAGCCUCACUCAUGAGACAGAAGCCUGCUUGGAUUUAUGACCAUCCUCCCCAUUCAACUGCCUCUUGGAUAAGCUCCAGUUGCUUGUGGUAGGGGAUUGAUGUUAUGGAUCUAGAAACACACACAGCUGCUACCUGUUCAAAGCCCUCCUGAGGCCUCGGCCUGAGCUCUCCUUAAUGGCACCUCGCCGAAAACCAGAACCCUGGACAGCUCCUAAAUGACAGCUCCUAAAAAAAAAAAAAAAAAAGACACCCCCAGCCCUGCCCCA